Molecule: ribosomal RNA, 503 nt
Filed under: uncultured bacterium
Lineage: Bacteria
Description: partial 16S ribosomal RNA
Rfam family: Bacterial small subunit ribosomal RNA
Source: RNAcentral
AUUGAACGCUGGCGGCAGGCUUAACACAUGCAAGUCGAGCGGGGUGAUGAUGCUUGCACUAUCACUUAGCGGCGGACGGGUGAGUAAUGCUUAGGAAUCUGCCUAUUAGGGGGGGACAACAUCUCGAAAGGGAUGCUAAUACCGCAUACGUCCUACGGGAGAAAGCAGGGGAUCACUUGUGACCUUGCGCUAAUAGAUGAGCCUAAGUCGGAUUAGCUAGUUGAUGGGGUAAAGGCCUACCAAGGCGACGAUCUGUAGCGGGUCAGAGAGGAUGAUCCGCCACACUGGGACUGAGACACGGCCCAGACUCCUACGGGAGGCAGCAGUGGGGAAUAUUGGACAAUGGGGGGAACCCUGAUCCAGCCAUGACGCGUGUGUGAAGAAGGCCUUAUGGUUGUAAAGCACUUUAAGCGAGGAGGAGGCUCUUUUGGUUAAUACCCAAGAUGAGUGGACGUUACUCGCAGAAUAAGCACCGGCUAACUCUGUGCCAGCCGCCGCAGUAA